AUUGAACGCUGGCGGCAGGCCUAACACAUGCAAGUCGAACGAGUGGCGGACGGGUGAGUAAUGUCUGGGCAACUGCCCGAUGGCGGGGGAUAACUACUGGAAACGGUAGCUAAUACCGCAUACCAUCGGAUGUGCCCAUAUGGGAUUAGCUAGUAGGUGGGGUAACGGCUCACCUAGGCGACGAUCCCUAGCUGGUCUGAGCGGAUGACCAGCCACACUGGAACUGGGACACGGUCCAGACGCCUACGGGAGGCAGAAGUGGGGAAUAUUGCACAAUGGGCGCAAGCCGGAUGCAGCCAUGCCGGUGUUAUGAAGAAGGCCUUCGGGUUGUAAAGUAUUGUCGGCGAGGAGGCGUUACUCGCAGAAGAAGCACCGGCUAACUCCGCGCCAGCAGCCGCGGUAAUAC
This 406-nucleotide ribosomal RNA is filed under the name uncultured bacterium. RNAcentral's name for it is "partial 16S ribosomal RNA". It matches the Rfam family "Bacterial small subunit ribosomal RNA", at positions 30 to 526 of the family's 1533-position model. The record is from RNAcentral.